RNAcentral lists this ribosomal RNA (324 nucleotides) under uncultured bacterium. Its description in RNAcentral is "bacterial SSU rRNA". It matches the Rfam family "Bacterial small subunit ribosomal RNA", at positions 28 to 334 of the family's 1533-position model. The record is from RNAcentral.
GAUGAACGCUGGCGGCGUGCCUAACACAUGCAAGUCGAGCGAAGCGCUUGAAUUAGAUUCUUCGGAUGAAGAUUUUUGCGACUGAGCGGCGGACGGGUGAGUAACGCGUGGGUAACCUGCCUUACACAGGGGGAUAACAGUUAGAAAUGACUGCUAAUACCGCAUAAGACCACAGUACCGCAUGGUAUAGUGGUAAAAACCGAGGUGGUGUAAGAUGGACCCGCGUCUGAUUAGGUAGUUGGUGGGGUAACGGCCCACCAAGCCGACGAUCAGUAGCCGGCCUGAGAGGGUGGACGGCCACAUUGGGACUGAGACACGGCCCAG